Medicago truncatula (barrel medic) is the source of this 1182-nucleotide long non-coding RNA. RefSeq lists it as uncharacterized. The record is from RefSeq and is a predicted model, not a curated record. The transcript has 3 exons. NCBI's taxonomy places the organism in Eukaryota, Viridiplantae, Streptophyta, Magnoliopsida, Fabales, Fabaceae.
CUCCCAUCUCCUCUCUCAAACCUGCAAAAAACACACUCUCUCUCUCUCUCUCUCUCUCUCUCUCUCUCACACACACACACACACAAAUCUUUAUCAAAAAAUUCUUAUCAACCAUUUCUUCGAUCCAAGCUUGCCAAAGUGUUAUAUCAACUCAUAUAAACUCUCUCUCUCUCUCUCUCUCUCUCUCUCUCAUCUUUAUCAAAAUUCUUAUCCACCAUUUCUUGGAUCCAACCUUGCAAAAAUGAUAGAUCAACUCAUCUAAACUCAAGAUCAAUCUCUUGUUUGAAGGAAAAAAGAAAGAAAGAAAAUGCAAAGUUUCUGGAGUUAAGGAAAAGAUAUGUAACUAAUAGUGCACGCCAUAACAAACGUUGAAAAGAUUAAGUAGAAAGCAGGAAAUUGAAGAGGUUGACACGUUCCAGAAGCAGCUUCUAGCAUUACAAACUCUGAAAGAGAGUUUUCAGUUGUUCGAUACUAGAAAAUUGAGGGGAAGAUUUGGAAUUUCACGAGAGUUUCCAAUUGGCUAGAUGAGCUUGGUGGAAACUUGUCGUUUGACGGUAGAAGUAGUUUUUAACUCGUGGCAAGAAUGAACGAAAUUUGUAGGAGCUUCUUGCAUUCCGUUCUUAACUUGUUUGGAAGUAAUUAUAUGUGGAGCCGUUUAGUUCUUGUUGCAAAUAUCGAUUCAUUGAGGGAAUGGGCUUUUGUGGUCCAAAUUGUGUUGACUUCCACUGUGAUGACGAUACUGAUGCUUACAAAGCCGCCGCAAACAUCGUGUUGUAUAUGUACUGCAAGGCUGUUCACAAUGAAUGGAAGAUUUCAGAAUUAUAUUUAUUAUAAGCUCUCCGUAUCACUUGAUGAGACCAAAUUUAGAUCCAAAAGAGUAAAGGAAAUGAGGGAAUAGUCAAGCUCCCUCAUGAAUGAGCUUCAUUAUGAUCAAACCAAUCCAUAAAGUUCAAGUCCAAAAUGAGAUGUAAAAGAAAUAUAGAAAAUGUGUGAAUCUAUGGUCACUAUCUCUUGUAAGAAUUUAAUGAUUCUACUAUUAUAAUGUUGAUAUUUUUCUUUUCUUAGUGUAGGGAAACAAUGUUCGGAUGCUGUCAUAAUUAAGCCUAAGUUCUUAGAUAGAAGUGAUUAAGCAUUUCAGAAAUUGAAGAGUAUAAUGAUGAUUGAAUAUUCUCUUUUUAUGCA